AUGCUGCAGCACCUUGAUCUCAAGGAUGAUGAAUUGGAUGAUGUGAUCGUGGGAGAGGAAGAUACAAAGAAGUAUGAGGCAGAUGCACGAUGGCUGGCGAUCGGGAAGGUAAACACAACCCGACAGUUUAGUUCAUCUUCGAUGUUUGAGACCAUGAAGUCCAUCUGGGGACUUGCGCGAGUGCCAACAUACAGAGAAGCUGGGGAGAACCUGUACAUCUUUCAGAUGUUUUGCCUUGGAGAUUGGAAGAAAGUGGUUCAUGGAGGACCCUGGCUGUUCAGAGGGAUGGGGAUGCUCAUUGAAGAUUAUGAUGGCAAGCAAGAACCAUCUUUCUUUGUCUUUGAUGGCCUGUAUGUCUGGGCACAGAUCCAUAAUAUACCUGAACUCUACCGCAAGAUUGAGGUGGUUGACCAACUUGCUCGUCGGAUCGGUCGGGUCAAGGAGACUCAGCUAUCGCCAAGGCUCUUCUACGAGGGCGAU
This 480-nucleotide ribosomal RNA is filed under the name Triticum aestivum (bread wheat). RNAcentral's name for it is "partial small subunit ribosomal RNA". Lineage: Eukaryota; Viridiplantae; Streptophyta; Magnoliopsida; Poales; Poaceae. The record is from RNAcentral.